GAUGAAGAACGCAGCGAAAUGCGAUAAGUAAUGUGAAUUGCAGAAUCCAGUGAAUCAUCGAAUCUUUGAACGCACAUUGCGCCCGCCAGCAUUCUGGCGGGCCUGCCUGUUCGAGCGUCAUUUCAACCCUCGACCUCCCUUUGGGGAAGUCGGCGUUGGGGACCGGCAGCACACCGCCGGCCCUGAAAUGGAGUGGCGGCCCGUCCGCGGCGACCUCUGCGUAGUAAACCAACUCGCACCGGAACCCCGACGUGGCCACGCCGUAAAACACCCAACUUCUGAACGUUGACCUCGAAUCAGGUAGGACUACCCGCUGAACUUAAGCAUAUCAAUAAGCGGAGGA
This 343-nucleotide unclassified non-coding RNA is filed under the name soil metagenome. Its description in RNAcentral is "partial contains 5.8S ribosomal RNA, internal transcribed spacer 2, and large subunit ribosomal RNA". The stretch from base 1 to 120 matches the Rfam family "5.8S ribosomal RNA", at positions 35 to 154 of the family's 154-position model. The record is from RNAcentral.